RNAcentral lists this ribosomal RNA (902 nucleotides) under Bacillus pumilus. RNAcentral's name for it is "bacterial SSU rRNA". It matches the Rfam family "Bacterial small subunit ribosomal RNA", at positions 543 to 1445 of the family's 1533-position model. Lineage: Bacteria; Bacillati; Bacillota; Bacilli; Caryophanales; Bacillaceae. The record is from RNAcentral.
GUCGGGAUUAUUGGGGCGUAAAGGGCUCGCAGGCGGUUUCUUAAGUCUGAUGUGAAAGCCCCCGGCUCACCGGGGAGGGUCAUUGGAAACUGGGAAACUUGAGUGCAGAAGAGGAGAGUGGAAUUCCACGUGUAGCGGUGAAAUGCGUAGAGAUGUGGAGGAACACCAGUGGCGAAGGCGACUCUCUGGUCUGUAACUGACGCUGAGGAGCGAAAGCGUGGGGAGCGAACAGGAUUAGAUACCCUGGUAGUCCACGCCGUAAACGAUGAGUGCUAAGUGUUAGGGGGUUUCCGCCCCUUAGUGCUGCAGCUAACGCAUUAAGCACUCCGCCUGGGGAGUACGGUCGCAAGACUGAAACUCAAAGGAAUUGACGGGGGCCCGCACAAGCGGUGGAGCAUGUGGUUUAAUUCGAAGCAACGCGAAGAACCUUACCAGGUCUUGACAUCCUCUGACAACCCUAGAGAUAGGGCUUUCCCUUCGGGGACAGAGUGACAGGUGGUGCAUGGUUGUCGUCAGCUCGUGUCGUGAGAUGUUGGGUUAAGUCCCGCAACGAGCGCAACCCUUGAUCUUAGUUGCCAGCAUUUAGUUGGGCACUCUAAGGUGACUGCCGGUGACAAACCGGAGGAAGGUGGGGAUGACGUCAAAUCAUCAUGCCCCUUAUGACCUGGGCUACACACGUGCUACAAUGGACAGAACAAAGGGCUGCGAGACCGCAAGGUUUAGCCAAUCCCAUAAAUCUGUUCUCAGUUCGGAUCGCAGUCUGCAACUCGACUGCGUGAAGCUGGAAUCGCUAGUAUCGCGGAUCAGCAUGCCGCGGAUGAAUACGUUCCCGGGACCUUGUACACACCGCCCGUCACACCACGAGAGUUUGCAACACCCGAAGUCGGUGAGGUAACCUUAUG